CCCCUCGCUCGGGAACGCCAUCCAGGUCCGCUCGUGGCGGGCCGUCUCGGCGGGCAUGCGCCAGCUCAUGCGUGGUCUCCGUUCGUGCGGGGGGA
This 95-nucleotide transfer RNA is filed under the name Agromyces luteolus. RNAcentral's name for it is "tRNA-Thr". Lineage: Bacteria; Bacillati; Actinomycetota; Actinomycetes; Micrococcales; Microbacteriaceae. The record is from RNAcentral.